UCCUGGCUAGCUCAGUUGGUGGGGCAUGUGACUCUUGAUCUUGAGGUUGUGAGUUCAAGCCCCAUGUUAGGUA
Molecule: transfer RNA, 73 nt
Filed under: Canis lupus familiaris (dog)
Lineage: Eukaryota; Metazoa; Chordata; Mammalia; Carnivora; Canidae
Also listed under: 1 other name
Rfam family: tRNA
About the family: Transfer RNA (tRNA) molecules are approximately 80 nucleotides in length. Their secondary structure includes four short double-helical elements and three loops (D, anti-codon, and T loops). Further hydrogen bonds mediate the characteristic L-shaped molecular structure. tRNAs have two regions of fundamental functional importance: the anti-codon, which is responsible for specific mRNA codon recognition, and the 3' end, to which the tRNAs corresponding amino acid is attached (by aminoacyl-tRNA synthetases). tRNAs cope with the degeneracy of the genetic code in two manners: having more than one tRNA (with a specific anti-codon) for a particular amino acid; and 'wobble' base-pairing, i.e. permitting non-standard base-pairing at the 3rd anti-codon position.
Source: Rfam by way of RNAcentral